UCCUCCUUCCUCUUCUCCACUCUGCUCAUCCCUCCUUUCCUUUGUCCACUCUGCUCAUCCCUCAUUCCUCCUUCCUUUUGUCCCCUUUUCUCAUUCCUCCUUUCCUCUUCUCCCCUCUGCUCAUCCCUCCUGCCCUUUGCCCAGCUCAGUGUAUUAUCCACCACCUGCUGCUUUUCUGGGAUGGCUUUUCCGCACGAGUAGACAGAAAGAUCUGUCAGUGUUUCUGUGCUCUGAGGGAAGAUCAAGACCUGAACCUCGAGACUGAAGAGAAAUUAGUGCCAGGGAUGGAUCCCGAAACCUGGCUGAUCCCACAGCACAAUCCAGCUCAUUUCUGAGAGCAUCAACAUGUCCAAAGGCUCCUGAGGCUGAGGAAAGGUGGAAUUUCACUUCAGAGCAGCCAAUACCUGUGUGCUGAGGAAGACACAAAACCCCAGAUGAAAAGGGGCAGGGCUAAAAGUCAUGGGAAGAAGAAAAGAAAAUUUACAAAUGCCAGAUCCAGCGCAUGGGAAUCCUGCCACGAGCAUGGGACAUCCCCACAGUGCCAAAACUGCUGCAGGAAACUGCAGCCACCAGCAAAAACACAGCAACCACGUGCCAAGAGAUUGUUUCAGAAGUGAAACCGCCAGAAGCCAAAUCGCAGUUUUAAGGCACAAUUUACACCAUAAAUAUUUGGGUUUCCAGCAAAAAGGGAGGGAGGAGAAAUCCUGGAAACACGACACUGGAGGCAGAGCAAUCUGCUGGUUUAAUUAACCCACAUGACAGAGGGCAUGAAUUUUUUUUUUCCUCUCACAUUAUUAAACACAAAAAUAUCCAAACUCCUGAGCUGUGGAACGGGAAUGAUUAAAAUCCCAUUACUCCAAGAUUGUUUCUUCCCCAUCCACAGAAAUUCCCAACAUCAACUUGUCCUGUGGAGGAGUCUUGAGCUCCUCAAGUUCAUGGGGAAAACUUCAAUGACCUUCAUAAUCUCAAAGCAUCUCCUAAUCAAAAGUGAUUUCAUUAAACCAGUGGCAAUCUGUCGGCAGCCUGAGAGCCCAGACAGGGAAACACCGGUUAAAACAAAGCUGGCAAAACACAUUAAAAAUUAAUUGACUUCUUGAUUUUUAUCAAAAUUGAAAAAAAGGCUCAAUCCUACACCAAAUGAUACAGCCCCUGAAUGGCAGCAAUUAAAGUUCCUCCUUCCAAUUACAGCUUUUUACAGCAUUUUAAUCAAUUUUUGUACAGCAAAUAAG
This is a non-coding RNA of Cyanistes caeruleus (blue tit), 1229 nucleotides long. NCBI's taxonomy places the organism in Eukaryota, Metazoa, Chordata, Aves, Passeriformes, Paridae. The record is from RefSeq and is a predicted model, not a curated record.